Molecule: ribosomal RNA, 253 nt
Filed under: uncultured bacterium
Lineage: Bacteria
Description: partial 16S ribosomal RNA
Rfam family: Bacterial small subunit ribosomal RNA
Source: RNAcentral
UACGGAGGGGGCAAGCGUUGUUCGGAAUCACUGGGCGUAAAGGGCGCGUAGGCGGCGCCGUAAGUUAGGCGUGAAAGACCCGGGCUCAACCCGGGAACUGCGCUCGAUACUGCGGCGCUCGAGUCCGGGAGAGGAUGGUGGAAUUCCCAGUGUAGAGGUGAAAUUCGUAGAUAUUGGGAGGAACACCGGUAGCGAAGGCGGCUAUCUGGACCGUUGCUGACGCUGAUGCGCGAAAGCGUGGGGAGCAAACAGG